Molecule: ribosomal RNA, 117 nt
Filed under: bacterium
Lineage: Bacteria
Source: RNAcentral
CCCGACUUCCAUACUGGCGGGGCCACACCCGGAACCAUUCCGAACCCGGCAGUUAAGCCCGCCGAGGCCGAUGGUACUUCCCCCGCAAGGGGGCGGGAGAGUAGGUAGAAGUCGGGG